This 301-nucleotide ribosomal RNA is filed under the name uncultured bacterium. RNAcentral's name for it is "partial 16S ribosomal RNA". It matches the Rfam family "Bacterial small subunit ribosomal RNA", at positions 509 to 807 of the family's 1533-position model. The record is from RNAcentral.
CAGCCGCCGCGGUAAUACAGAGGGUGCGAGCGUUAAUCGGAUUUACUGGGCGUAAAGCGCGCGUAGGUGGUUUGUUAAGUUGGAUGUGAAAUCCCCGGGCUCAACCUGGGAACUGCAUCCAAAACUGGCAAGCUAGAGUAUGGUAGAGGGUGGUGGAAUUUCCUGUGUAGCGGUGAAAUGCGUAGAUAUAGGAAGGAACACCAGUGGCGAAGGCGACCACCUGGACUGAUACUGACACUGAGGUGCGAAAGCGUGGGGAGCAAACAGGAUUAGAUACCCCCGUAGUCCCUGUCUCUUAUAC